GACGUAGGGGGCCAGCGUUGUUCGGAAUUACUGGGUGUAAAGGGUUCGUAGGCGGUGUGGCAAGUCGGGAGUGAAAUCUCUGGGCUCAACCCAGAGACUGCUUCCGAAACUGCUGUGCUUGAGUGUGAGAGAGGCUCGUGGAAUUGCAGGUGUAGCGGUGAAAUGCGUAGAUAUCUGCAGGAACACCCGUGGCGAAAGCGGCGAGCUGGAUCACUACUGACGCUGAGGAACGAAAGCUAGGGGAGCAAACGGG
This 253-nucleotide ribosomal RNA is filed under the name uncultured bacterium. RNAcentral describes it as "partial 16S ribosomal RNA". It matches the Rfam family "Bacterial small subunit ribosomal RNA", at positions 524 to 776 of the family's 1533-position model. The record is from RNAcentral.